GAUGAACGCUGGCGGCGUGCCUAAUACAUGCAAGUAGAACGCUGAAGGAGGAGCUUUCUCUUCUUGAUGAGUUGCGAACGGGUGAGUAACGCGUAUGUAACCUGCCUGUUAGCGGGUGAUAACUAUUGGAAACGAUAGCGAAUACCGCAUGACAACAGUUGUUGCAUGAUAACUGUUUAAAAGGGGCAACUGUUCCACUACCAGAUGGACCUGCGUUGUAUUAUCAAGUUGGUGAGGUAACGGCUCCACAAGGCGACGAUACAUAGCCGACCUGAUAUGGUGAUCGGCCACACUGGGACUGAGACAAGGCCCAGACUCCUAAGGGAGGCAGCAGUAGGGAAACUUCGGCAAUUGACGGAAGGCUGAACGAAGAAAGCCGGGGGAGUGAAGAAGGUUUUCGGGUCGUAAAGAUCUGUUGUAAGAGAAGAAAGAGAGUGGGAGUGGAAAGUUCACACUGUGACGGUAUCUUACCAGAAAGCGACGGCUAACUACGUG
This 495-nucleotide ribosomal RNA is filed under the name uncultured bacterium. RNAcentral's name for it is "partial 16S ribosomal RNA". It matches the Rfam family "Bacterial small subunit ribosomal RNA", at positions 28 to 507 of the family's 1533-position model. The record is from RNAcentral.